RNAcentral lists this long non-coding RNA (385 nucleotides) under Equus caballus (horse). RNAcentral describes it as "lncRNA (ENSECAG00000052428.1)". Lineage: Eukaryota; Metazoa; Chordata; Mammalia; Perissodactyla; Equidae. The record is from RNAcentral.
GGAGGGUGGUAGGUAGGACGGUGGUAGGUAGGACGGUGGUAGGUAGGAUGGUGGUAGGUAGGGCCGGAAGUAGGUAAAAUGGUGGUAGGUAGGAUGGUGGUAGGUAGGAUGGUGGUAGGUAAGACAGUGGUAGGUAGGACAGUGGUAGGUAAGAUGGUGGUAGGUAGGAUGGUGGUAAGUAGGAUGGUGGUAGGUUGGGCCAGAAGUAGGUAGGACAGUGGUAGGUAGGGCAGGAAGUAGGUAGGACAGUGGUAGGUAGGACGGUGGUAGGUAGGAUGGUGGUAGGUAGGACGGUGGUAGGUAGGAUGGUGGUAGGUAGGACGGUGGUAGGUAGGGCCGGAAGUAGGUAGGACGGUGGUAGGUAGGGCCGGAAGUAGGUAGGACA